GAAAACUGAACCUCUACUUGAUUCUAGAAUUAAAUACGCAUUUUCUUAGAAAACUAAAUUAGUCUGCUUUCCUUUGCUUUCGUUAGUAAUUAAUUUCCCCAACGACUAACUUUAUCGUUCACGCGUACACAUAUGCGUUAAAGUGUAAUUACCAAAUGCAAAUGCAAAAAUGAAUUGAAUUUUAACAUCAAGGAAACUGUCUCUGAGUCUAAAUUCGAGCUAAUACUACAGCUUACUCCUCAAACCACGACACGUAUUACGCGAAAAUGCGCGUCUUUCGACAGAAUGUUCUAAGGCGAGAAGAGGAAAACGAGAGAAAGCGAUGUUGUCGCUCGCUUGGGGCUCGGUUUCGCGAAUCCGUUGAUGUUAGCUCGUUAAGUGUUAGUUGCAUUACCCAGGUAUUAUCUUAUCACUGUUUACGGAUGCGUCGCAGACCUACCAUGUUCUCGUGUUUAGCGAGAAAUGUCGAGACCUGGUCGCGUCUGAGAUUCAGCUUGCUAUAAUGAAUUGUUAGAUCGUCAAAAUGUUCGUCUCUUAGUUCACUAGCUCCUCUUACAAAGAAAUCAUUGAUGAUACAAACAUGUGCAUAUUGAUUCAUCUUCUAUGUGAACAAUGUCUAACAAUUUCAAAUAUCUCAAAUAAUUCAAAUGUUAAAAUAACUCGUGUCUUUGUUUCAUGGGGCAAAUCAUUACGGAAAAAUAGAACACAAAACUUUCUCGGUACAUCUAAUUUAACAAAAAGAGAAAAAAAAGAGAAGAAAAAGAAAGCUUCAGUCUGAUCAAAGUCGACUCGAAUUCCCGCGAAAAGUAUAGCCUGGAUGAUACACGGAGGAACCUUCAUACGCUAUUAGAAGCCUAAGCCUCGCUGUGCACAAAAACACGUUGCAGGUCUAUCGACAAAUUGUCAGUAUACUCACCUCGUAGUAUAUAAUUUUGAUAAUUCUGGUCGGCCUCGCUGCCAACCUUGAUGAGGCAAGCAAGCCCAUCAUUUUGUACAAACUCGUGCACCAGGUCCUUGUCCUCCUGCAAAACCAAAGUUUAUGGUAAAUAGCAUUCGACCAGCCGAAUAGAUGUCCGUUAUACCUCUGAUCAUCGCUUAUCUCUAAUUUAUUCAACCUGAAACGAAGCACCUAAUCGAUGGCUCGGCGUCUCUGGAUUUAUGGUCCAUCUUUUGGGAAAUGUUCGAACGUUUCACGGCUUGAUUUAUGAUACAUCGCGGAUAAGGAUAAUCCUUCAGAUAGCAUCGUAUUUAACGACCAACAUUUUCGAUACAAGUUUCAAUGACUUUAUUCGCGAAAAGUGUAAAAUGAAUCCUGUUCAAUAACAUCUUCGUUGAAAGAAAAAACUGAAAUGAGAAACGAGUUUAUUCAAAACAAUUCCAUUAGCUAGAAGAGUAAAGUUCUUCAAAUAUUACGAAAUUUGUCAUUAACAUUGGAAUUAUCGGUCAUUAUGUAUUCCUAAAUAUAUUAUGCGUAGUUAAACAGAAUUCAAACAAUAUGGUGAAAAUAUAGAAAUACAUGUAAUUAUGCUUCGAUCUUAAUAAAAGUAAGCAUUAACAUUGUCAA
Long non-coding RNA from Bombus impatiens (common eastern bumble bee), 1564 nucleotides. RefSeq lists it as uncharacterized. Lineage: Eukaryota; Metazoa; Arthropoda; Insecta; Hymenoptera; Apidae. The transcript has 2 exons. The record is from RefSeq and is a predicted model, not a curated record.